AGCCACCCGCCUGCCAGCGCCGCCCAGCCCGCUCGGCUAACUAGGCAUUUGCCCUGGGCAUUUGGGGGCGGCAUUUUUUGCCGCCCCCUGAAAAAUGCCGCCCAAGGCAAAUGCCUUGUUUGCCUCGUGGCUAAUACGUCCCUGCAUAUAUACCUAGACACACAUUCACACAAUCAGUCACAGUGGUGAAACUACCACUGGUGCAGCCAGUGCAGCUGUACAGGGGCCCAUAUGCUACUG
Molecule: non-coding RNA, 240 nt
Organism: Pelobates cultripes (western spadefoot toad)
Lineage: Eukaryota; Metazoa; Chordata; Amphibia; Anura; Pelobatidae
Source: the annotation of a GenBank genome assembly